Molecule: ribosomal RNA, 1027 nt
Filed under: uncultured bacterium
Lineage: Bacteria
Description: bacterial SSU rRNA
Rfam family: Bacterial small subunit ribosomal RNA
Source: RNAcentral
UGCAAGUCGAGCGAGAAGUUUAAUUCUGAUGCUUCGGUUGAAGAAUUAAACGGACAGCGGCGAAAGGGAGAGUAACAGGUAGAUACGUGCCCAAGGGUUCAGGAUAGCCAUGCGAAAGCGUGAGUAAUACUGAAUAAUGUCUCCGGACCAAAGAUUUAUUGCCCUUGGAGCGGUCUGCUUCCUAUUAGAUUGUUGGUGGGGUAAUGGCCUACCAAGUCAAAGAUGGGUAGCGGGUGUGAGAGCAUGGCCCGUCUCACUGGGACUGAGAUACUGCCCAGACACCUACGGGUGGCUGCAGUCGAGAAUCUUCCGCAAUGGGCGAAAGCCUGACGGAGCGACGCCGCGUGAUGGACGAAGGCCCUCGGGUUGUAAACAUCUGUCGUAGGGGAGGAAAUUUUGACCGAUCCUAGGAGGAAGCACAGGCUAAGUUCGUGCCAGCAGCCGCGGUAAUACGAACUGUGCAAACGUUAUUCGGAAUCACUGGGCUUAAAGGGUGCGUAGGCGGAUUUGUAGGUCAGAUGUGAAAGCCCACGGCUCAACCGUGGAAUUGCGUUUGAAACCAUGAGUCUUGAGGGGAUCAGAGGAGAGCGGAACUGAUGGUGGAGCGGUGAAGUGCGUUGAUAUCAUCAGGAACACCGGUGGCGAAAGCGGCUCUCUGGGAUCUUUCUGACGCUGAGGCACGAAAGCUAGGGGAGCGAACGGGAUUAGAUACCCCGGUAGUCCUAGCUGUAAACGAUCUGUACUAGUCCGUGGGGACUCCCACAUCUUCUCGGACGUAGCGAAAGUGUUAAGUACAGCGCCUGGGGAGUAUGGUCGCAAGGCUGAAACUCAAAGGAAUUGACGGGGGCUCACACAAGCGGUGGAGGAUGUGGCUUAUUUCGAGGCUACGCGAAGAACCUUACCUAGGCUUAACAUGUUUGAGAUCUCUGUGAAGCAGAGAGUGCCCUUCGGGGAGCUCUUACGUAGUGCUGCAUGGCUGUCGUCAGCUUCGUGUCGUGAGAUGUCGGGUUAAGUCCCUUUAACGAGC